UACGGAGGGUGCGAGCGUUGUCCGGAAUCACUGGGCGUAAAGGGCGCGUAGGCGGCGCGGGAAGUCAUCGGUGAAAGCUCAGGGCUCAACUCUGAGUCGGCCGGUGAUACUCGCGUGCUUGAGCACUGUAGAGGCAGGUGGAAUUCCGGGUGUAGCGGUGGAAUGCGCAGAUAUCAGGUGGAACACCGGUGGCGAAGGCGGUGGUCUGGGCCGGAACUGACGCUGAGGAGCGAAAGCGUGGGGAGCGAACAGG
This 253-nucleotide ribosomal RNA is filed under the name uncultured bacterium. RNAcentral describes it as "partial 16S ribosomal RNA". It matches the Rfam family "Bacterial small subunit ribosomal RNA", at positions 524 to 776 of the family's 1533-position model. The record is from RNAcentral.